This 483-nucleotide ribosomal RNA is filed under the name uncultured bacterium. Its description in RNAcentral is "partial 16S ribosomal RNA". It matches the Rfam family "Bacterial small subunit ribosomal RNA", at positions 28 to 523 of the family's 1533-position model. The record is from RNAcentral.
GACGAACGCUGGCGGCGUGCUUAACACAUGCAAGUCGAACGAUGAAGCUGGAGCUUGCUCCGGUGGAUUAGUGGCGAGCGGGUGAGUAACACGUGAGUAAUCUGCCCUUGACUCUGGAUAACUGCGGGAAACUGUAGCUAAUACCGGAUACGACACCUUCGGGCAUCCGAUGGGUGUGGAAAGAAUUUCGGUCGAGGAUGAACUCGCGGCCUAUCAGCUAGUUGGUGAGGUAAUGGCUCACCAAGGCGACGACGGGUAGCCGGCCUGAGAGGGUAACCGGCCACACUGGGACUGAGACACGGCCCAGACUCCUACGGGAGGCGGCAGUGGGGAAUAUUGCACAAUGGGCGAAAGUCUGAUGCAGCAACGCCGCGUGAGGGAUGAAGGCCUUCGGGUUGUAAACCUCUUUUAGUUGGGAAGAAGCGAAAGUGACGGUACCAACAGAAAAAGCACCGGCUAACUACGUGCCAGCAGCCGCGGUAA